This 387-nucleotide ribosomal RNA is filed under the name Telonemia sp. RNAcentral describes it as "partial small subunit ribosomal RNA". It matches the Rfam family "Eukaryotic small subunit ribosomal RNA", at positions 582 to 975 of the family's 1831-position model. The record is from RNAcentral. Lineage: Eukaryota; Telonemia.
AUUCCAGCUCCAAUAGCGUAUAUUAAAGUUGUUGCAGUUAAAAAGCUCGUAGUUGGAGUUCAGGGUGAGCUCAGCCGGUCGGCGUCAUGCGUCAGAACUGGUCGACUCUCCCUUGUUUGUGGAUCCCGCCCGGAGUUAACUCUUCGGGAUGUGGAGUUCACAUCGUUUACCUUGAAAAAAUUAGAGUGUUCAAAGCAGGCGUUUGCUUGAAUAUAUUAGCAUGGAAUAAUGGAAUAGGACCCUGGUUCUAUUUUGUUGGUUUUGAGAACCAGAGUAAUGAUUAAUAGGGAUAGUUGGGGGCAUUCAUAUUUCAUUGUCAGAGGUGAAAUUCUUGGAUUUAUGAAAGAUGAACUUCUGCGAAAGCAUUUGCCAAGGAUGUUUUCAUUG